UUUACCCUGCCAUGUUCGUGCUCCUAGCAAAAAUCCUUGAACCGUAAUUAGAAAAACACGGAGCCUCUAUUUCGGUUGUCGGCCGACAGGCCUUGACUGGAAGUCGUAAGUGAUCGAUCGGGCUCCACCUGUUCCUUAAAAAGUUCAAAGGGACUGUUAUACACGGCAUUACGGUGGGGUACUC
Molecule: non-coding RNA, 184 nt
Filed under: Pedosphaera parvula Ellin514
Lineage: Bacteria; Pseudomonadati; Verrucomicrobiota; Pedosphaerae; Pedosphaerales; Pedosphaeraceae
Description: 6S / SsrS RNA
Rfam family: 6S / SsrS RNA
About the family: E. coli 6S RNA was the first non coding RNA to be sequenced, but its function was unknown until recently. It consists of 184 nucleotides that fold into an extended hairpin structure with a large single-stranded internal bulge.
Source: Rfam by way of RNAcentral